Molecule: ribosomal RNA, 253 nt
Filed under: uncultured bacterium
Lineage: Bacteria
Description: partial 16S ribosomal RNA
Rfam family: Bacterial small subunit ribosomal RNA
Source: RNAcentral
UACGUAGGGCGCAAGCGUUAUCCGGAAUUAUUGGGCGUAAAGAGCUCGUAGGCGGUUUGUCGCGUCUGCCGUGAAAGUCCGGGGCUCAACUCCGGAUCUGCGGUGGGUACGGGCAGACUAGAGUGCGGUAGGGGAGAUUGGAAUUCCUGGUGUAGCGGUGGAAUGCGUAGAUAUCAGGAGGAACACCGGUGGCGAAGGCGGGUCUCUGGACCGUAACUGACGCUGAGGCACGAAAGCGUGGGUAGCAAACAGG